GGGUGGAUAGCUCAGCGGUUAGAGCGCGUGUCUUAUAAACACGAGGUUUCGAUGGUUCAAAUCCAUCUCCACCCA
This 75-nucleotide transfer RNA is filed under the name Candidatus Shapirobacteria bacterium CG09_land_8_20_14_0_10_38_17. RNAcentral's name for it is "tRNA-Ile". It matches the Rfam family "tRNA". From Rfam's summary of the family: Transfer RNA (tRNA) molecules are approximately 80 nucleotides in length. The record is from RNAcentral. Lineage: Bacteria; Candidatus Shapironibacteriota.